This 253-nucleotide ribosomal RNA is filed under the name uncultured bacterium. RNAcentral's name for it is "partial 16S ribosomal RNA". It matches the Rfam family "Bacterial small subunit ribosomal RNA", at positions 524 to 776 of the family's 1533-position model. The record is from RNAcentral.
UACGUAGGCAGCGAGCGUUGUUCGGAGUUACUGGGCGUAAAGGGUGUGUAAGGCGGUUCUUUAAGUUUGGUGUGAAAUCUCCCGGCUCAACCGGGAGGGUGCGCCGAAUACUGAGGGACUAGAGUAUGGGAUGGGAAAGUGGAAUUCCUGGUGUAGCGGUGAAAUGCGUAGAUAUCAGGAGGAACACCUGUGGUGUAGACGGCUUCUGGACCAUAACUGACGCUGAGACACGAAAGCGUGGGUAGCAAACAGG